UAGGGAAUCUUCCGCAAUGGACGCAAGUCUGACGGAGCAACGCCGCGUGAGUGAAGAAGGAGUUCGGUUCGUAAAACUCUGUUGUUAGAGAAGAACAGCGCAUAGAGUAACUGGGAUGCGUGUGACGGUAUCUAACCAGAAAGCCACGGCUAACUACGUGCCAGCAGCCGCGGUAAUACGUAGGUGGCAAGCGUUGUACGGAUUUAUUGGGCGUAAAGCGAGCGCAGGCGGUCAAUUAAGUCUGAUGUGAAAGCCCCCGGCUCAACCGGGGAGGGUCAUUGGAAACUGGUUGACUUGAGUGCAGAAGAGGAGAGUGGAAUUCCAUGUGUAGCGGUGAAAUGCGUAGAUAUAUGGAGGAACACCAGUGGCGAAGGCGACUCUCUGGUCUGUAACUGACGCUGAGGCUCGAAAGCGUGGGGAGCGAACAGG
This 429-nucleotide ribosomal RNA is filed under the name Bacteroidota bacterium. RNAcentral describes it as "Bacteroidetes bacterium partial 16S ribosomal RNA". It matches the Rfam family "Bacterial small subunit ribosomal RNA", at positions 355 to 776 of the family's 1533-position model. The record is from RNAcentral. Lineage: Bacteria; Pseudomonadati; Bacteroidota.